AGAUGCCUCGUUAUAUAGUUCAUCUACCGUGAAGAGAUUAUCAAAUGGGACUCCAUCCUGCAAAGGUGGAUUUUCAAGAUGGUGAGCAUUAACAAUACUCAUAGAUUCAUAAUUUUCUACCCUCCUAAAUUUUUCAUGAUGACUAAAACCCAUCAGAUCGUCACCAGGGAGGUGCUGUUGCUGCACAUGAAAAUAAGAAGGUUGAACAUCCAUAGGCUCAUAAGUUUUUACGCUUUGUAAUAUGUAAUGAUCACUUGAAACCAUCACAGGAUUCGUGUCGAGCUGCUGCUGCUGCUCAUGAAAAUAAGAAGGAGAAGGCGACACGUACACUUGCGGAUCUUGUUGUUGUAACUCAUGUUCCUCAAACCUCAUGUUAGAAUCAACCUGUUGUUGUUGUGGUUU
RNAcentral lists this long non-coding RNA (402 nucleotides) under Fragaria vesca (wild strawberry). RNAcentral describes it as "long non-coding RNA (FVES_LNC000625)". The record is from RNAcentral. Lineage: Eukaryota; Viridiplantae; Streptophyta; Magnoliopsida; Rosales; Rosaceae.